Molecule: long non-coding RNA, 322 nt
Filed under: Prunus persica (peach)
Lineage: Eukaryota; Viridiplantae; Streptophyta; Magnoliopsida; Rosales; Rosaceae
Description: long non-coding RNA (PPER_LNC008644)
Source: RNAcentral
GGAGGAGUCAUUUGGUGGGUUUUGAGCGAAAUCCAAUCUCUAGAACUAUAUAAUACACCAACCACCCCAUUUCAUAACGAACUUCGUACGAACCUGAAUCGUCCGAUUUCAAGUUCCAAUCGAUAUCGGAUUGAGUCCAAAACUUGGGGAACAUCAUAAUAUUGUGGGAGGAGUCAUUUGGUGGGUUUUGAGUGAAAUACAAUCCCUAGAACUAUACAAUACACCAACACCCCAUUUCAGAACGAACUUCGUACGAACCCUGAAUUGGCCGAUUUCAAGGACUAAUCGAUAUCGGAUUGAGUCCAAAACUUGGGGAACAUCA